AUGGAUCAUAGGAAUAGUGAUCGUCUCAAGGAAGUGUUGAAAGCAACCAGUUAUCAAAUCACUAAGUUUGAAACCCAAUCAACUGAAACAUUGGAUCAUCUCGUAGAGUUAAAACCAUUCAUGGAUUGGUUUACAGAUUUCAUCACCAAUGACUCUUGCAUGACGCAAGAUGAAUUACGCAUGUUUGAAGAAUUAGAAGAUGAAGAGAAUAUACUGUACGGAGAAGAUUUAGAGAAUGCCUUGGACCAGUUCUUCGAAGAACAUUCUGAAGACUUUGACGAUCUCAUCAAAAUAACUGGUAUUGAAUUUAUGCAAGAGGAAGUGACGGAAACAGAUACAGCAGUACAGCAUUUAAAAAGUCUGUGGAAACUUCUUGCGACCAAACUUCAAUCAAUCAAAGAAAAUGCUGUGGGUAUGGAUCUGAGGAAGAAAGAGGUAUCGAAGGAACUCAGCGAAAUAGUCACAAGUUUACUGGAACUGAAUAACAGUUUAAAUAAUAUACUCAAUACCCUGCACAAAACAUUUAAAGAUUUAAAAGAGCCAUUGGUCCAGUUCGAUGAGAAUAAUGUGAAUGGACCCUAUUUAUCACAGCAAUCUUUAACGAAGUAUAUGAAUGAGAGCUCUAAGUUUGAAAAAAAUGUAUCACGUUACUUCAAAUUCAAAUUCAACGAUCGCGCCAAAUCAGAUGUAUCUGUUUUAGAAUCUCUGAUGAGCAAACUGACCUGUGCUCCGGCCCCAGAGCCCUCAGACACUCUCAGUCAAGAAGAAGCAUUUCCGCAGAUAAAAUGUAAAAAACUCGUCAGAGAACUUGAAUGUGUACGAAAACAUAUCAAAACAAGUCGUGAAGAGAAAACUUUGGCUUCAGCUGACGAAAAAGCUUACUCUUUAGCUUUGGAGCAGAUGAAUACUUUGAUCGAAAGUUUCAACAGCAACCUAAAAGUAACGACCUCUGAGAUAAGGUACCAGAGUACUGAAAACGCUGACAAAUUUGUUAAUGCAAAGAAGACCGAGUCGGAAUUGAAGCAAUCUCUGUCUGCAAACUGUGAAACAGAAAGUACAAAUGAAUCUUUAAAAUCUUUAUCUGACAUCCAGGUCAUCAAGUUGAAGCGACAAGAAACCAAGCUGGACAAUCUCAAUAGAUUGUGUGAUUUCAUUCAAAAGCGUCUGCAUUGUGAUGAGUAUCUAAUUUUGUUCCUUCAAAAUGAACUCUUAAAAAUCGAACUAUUGAUUCAAUUUCUAGAUGACACAAUGAAUACUGCAAGUAAGGAAUGUGAAACACUUCAUAAUAACAGAGAAGUUGUGAUGAGCCAAGAAGAUUUUUUGAAGAAACAAGCAGUGCAGUUGUGCAAAGGACACCCUUUGAUAAACACUUUGAACGCUCUCUACAAACUGAAAGCUGAGGACUCGAACGACAUCACCACCUUGGUUCACACAAUUGAGGUUCAAAAUAAAAUCAUUACAGAUGUCAGUUACCAACUAGCACACAUGUACAAUCUUGGAGGAUCUAAUGGUAAAGAUUCAUUGACGUACAUACGAGAGUUGACAAACAAUAUAUUCAGCGGAAAAGCAAGGCAGCCUGUCGCAAACGUGAAUAAGUCAAUGGUGCCUGUUAAAUCUGCAGAAAAGCGGAUAGAAAGUUUGAAAGAACUUUACAAUCUUCAAAAAUUCUCAUUUGAAGAGCACAUCGAUUACUUGACACGGAAGCCACACUUGAAAUUGGAGGUAUCAUUGUGGUCUCGCUUCUUGGUGCGGCCCAUCGAAUUCAAAGCAUUAGGGGAUGAAGCAAAAAAGAAACUUAAAAGUAAAGCAUCCAGCUAUGAGGCAAUUACUUUCAGGAAGCCUAGGAGGGCUUGA
This 1854-nucleotide long non-coding RNA is filed under the name Bemisia tabaci. Its description in RNAcentral is "lncRNA ENSSSA1UGG013225". The record is from RNAcentral. Lineage: Eukaryota; Metazoa; Arthropoda; Insecta; Hemiptera; Aleyrodidae.